This 520-nucleotide ribosomal RNA is filed under the name uncultured Glomus. RNAcentral describes it as "SSU rRNA". It matches the Rfam family "Eukaryotic small subunit ribosomal RNA", at positions 569 to 1092 of the family's 1831-position model. The record is from RNAcentral. Lineage: Eukaryota; Fungi; Glomeromycota; Glomeromycetes; Glomerales; Glomeraceae.
AGCAGCCGCGGUAAUUCCAGCUCCAAUAGCGUAUAUUAAAGUUGUUGCAGUUAAAAAGCUCGUAGUUGAAUUUCGGGAUCAAUACGUCGGUCGUGCUUAGGUACGUACUGGCGUAAUUGAUUUCUCCCUUCUGACGAACCAUGAUGUCAUUAACUUGGUGUCAUGGGAAAUCAGGACUGUUACUUUGAAAAAAUUAGAGUGUUUAAAGCAGGCUCACGCUUGAAUACAUUAGCAUGGAAUAAUGAAAUAGGACGUUCGAUCCUAUUUUGUUGGUUUUUAGGAUCAACGUAAUGAUUAAUAGGGAUAGUUGGGGGCAUUAGUAUUCAAUUGUCAGAGGUGAAAUUCUUGGAUUUAUUGAAGACUAACUACUGCGAAAGCAUUUGCCAAGGAUGUUUUCAUUAAUCAAGAACGAAAGUUAGGGGAUCGAAGACGAUCAGAUACCGUCGUAGUCUUAACCAUAAACUAUGCCGACUAGGGAUCGGAUGAUGUUAAUUUUUAAUGACUCAUUCGGCGCCUUAAC